Salvia miltiorrhiza (redroot sage) is the source of this 680-nucleotide long non-coding RNA. RefSeq lists it as uncharacterized. Lineage: Eukaryota; Viridiplantae; Streptophyta; Magnoliopsida; Lamiales; Lamiaceae. The transcript is spliced from 2 exons. The record is from RefSeq and is a predicted model, not a curated record.
AAUAACCGAAAUCCCUGUUUUGCAUCAACUUGGACGAAUCGUUCUAGCAGGAAUCACAAAAAACAAACAAAUCUAGGAUCAAAUUCAAUAACAAUUCUCACAAAAUUCAAAUGAUUUUCACUUGUAUAUUGCAUAAAUCAUAAAUCUGUCAGCUAACAAACUGGAAGCUGCGACCACAACUUGACUAGAAACGAACAAAUACCUACGGUAGGGGAAAGAUCGUCUACUACGUUGGAAAUGAAACUGACGAGCAGGCUGCUCUUGCCGACGGCGGAAUCUCCGAUGAGCAGGAUCUUAAACGACAGAUCGUAGUUGCUCUGCCCCUGCCCUGAACUCCCCAUCCGAGCACCUCACUUUCUCUCUCUAGAAAGCAGAACAGUGCAGUUUCCUUCUCUCUCUAAAUAUGUAGACGAAAAGGCAGAUUAAAUAUAACAGGAACUCUCUCUGUCCGUCUCACAGUGUACCUACCUAUCGUGUAUGGAGAACUCAAAAGGCUAGGCUGAUGAGGAGGAGCUUUUAUGCCAUCACUAGUCUUAACUUUCUCUCUCUAAGAAAAGAUGCAAAUGUGAUAGGUGUAUGUAUAGAGAGAGAAAGUGGUGGACAACGUUAUUCUUUUCUUUUUGUGUCGUGUGUCGCGCCUCAGAUUCGAUUCCCGUUUUUGCGCCAAAGGAACGCAACGU